This 331-nucleotide ribosomal RNA is filed under the name uncultured bacterium. Its description in RNAcentral is "bacterial SSU rRNA". It matches the Rfam family "Bacterial small subunit ribosomal RNA", at positions 568 to 898 of the family's 1533-position model. The record is from RNAcentral.
CGUGUAGGCGGGAUCUUAAGUCGGUGGUGAAAUCCUCUGGCUCAACCAGGGAACUGCCACCGAAACUGAGGUUCUUGAGGGCAGGAGAGGAGAGUGGAAUUGCUGGUGUAGCGGUGAAAUGCGUAGAGAUCAGCAAGAACACCCGUGGCGAAGGCGGCUCUCUGGACUGCUCCUGACGCUGAGACGCGAAAGCCAGGGGAGCGAACGGGAUUAGAUACCCCGGUAGUCCUGGCCGUAAACGAUGGUCACUAGGUGUCGGAGGAUCGACCCCCUCGGCGCCGUAGCAAACGCGUUAAGUGACCCGCCUGGGGAGUACGGCCGCAAGGCUGAA